Cyprinus carpio (common carp) is the source of this 907-nucleotide long non-coding RNA. RefSeq lists it as uncharacterized. Lineage: Eukaryota; Metazoa; Chordata; Actinopteri; Cypriniformes; Cyprinidae. The record is from RefSeq and is a predicted model, not a curated record.
CACUGUUUUAUGUUUCAUUCAGACUUUGAUGCUGAGAGUAUUUAAUAUUUGUUGUGCAGAUUUAAUAUCAUCUAUGAUACUGUAUAACAGGUCAAAGGUCAUCUAAUAGGCAAUGACCAUCUAAAUCUGGUUAAAGAUUUCAUUAUAGAGCAGGUAAAUAGAAUUAGCAGAGUUUAAAAUCAUGUGUACUGAAAAUCUGAUGAAUGCAUUUUGGGACUUAUUAUGAAACGAAUGAUUUCAGCCUUCAUGCAAUAACAGUUUUAUUAUUAUUUUUAAAGAUGAAUGUUUUGUGCCAUUUUUUACAUUAGUCCAUUGCUGCUGUUGAGUCUGAUAUCAGUUUGUGAGUCUCUUCUCUCUUUCUCUGCUGGAGUUUGUGUUUAUUUGAGUGUGACGGAGGUUUUUGUACGACGUUUUCACUAGAAUGAAGCACUGUGGUACACUUUUGGUGGAGGCACUAAACUGACAAUCGUUGGUCCCGCAGUGAAGCCCUCCGUGUCUCUGCUGCCUCCCUCUUCUCUGCAGAUCUCUGGAGACUCAGCCGCACUGCUCUGCCUGCUCAGCUCUUACUCUCCACAGGGGGCGCAGGUGAGCUGGACGCUGUACGGGUCAGAGGUCACCGAGGGGGUUCAGACCAGCGCAGAGAGCGAGCGGGACGGACGCUACAAGCCGCAGCAGCGUCCUGAGCCUCAGCAAAGCACGCUGGGAAGCCGGCGAGCGCUUCGUCUGCAGAGUAACACAUGACGGAGCUGAUCACGAGACCUCGUUCCUCAAGAGCUCCGAGUGCUGAUGUUUCUCCAGUGAAGAGCAGCAGGAUUCACAGCAGUCUCCUGAUUUACAGCUCAAUACUCAAGCAGUCUUUCAAUGUGCUGCCAUUGCUGUUCAUUCAAUAAAGCUUCUGAACGCCUUA